CUCAAGCUCGGCUCAUUUU
RNAcentral lists this microRNA (19 nucleotides) under Ananas comosus (pineapple). RNAcentral's name for it is "microRNA s1496_c085b". The record is from RNAcentral. Lineage: Eukaryota; Viridiplantae; Streptophyta; Magnoliopsida; Poales; Bromeliaceae.